AGUGAACGCUGGCGGUAGGCCUAACACAUGCAAGUCGAACGGCAGCACAGUAAGAGCUUGCUCUUACGGGUGGCGAGUGGCGGACGGGUGAGGAAUACAUCGGAAUCUACUUUUUCGUGGGGGAUAACGUAGGGAAACUUACGCUAAUACCGCAUACGACCUACGGGUGAAAGCAGGGGAUCUUCGGACCUUGCGCGAUUGAAUGAGCCGAUGUCGGAUUUGCUAGUUGGCGGGGUAAAGGCCCACUAAGGCGACGAUCCGUAGCUGGUCUGAGAGGAUGAUCGCCCACACUGGAACUGAGACACGGUCAAGACUCCUACGGGAGGCAGCAGUGGGGAAUAUUGGACAAUAGGCGCAAGCCUGAUCCAGCCAUACCGCGUGUGUGAAGAAGGCGUUCGGGUUGUAAAGACCUUUUGUUGGGAAAGAAAAGCAGCAGGUUAAGACCACGCUGUUCUGACGGUACCCAAUGAAGAAGCACCGGCUAACUUCGUG
Molecule: ribosomal RNA, 492 nt
Filed under: uncultured bacterium
Lineage: Bacteria
Description: partial 16S ribosomal RNA
Rfam family: Bacterial small subunit ribosomal RNA
Source: RNAcentral